AGUGAACGCUGGCGGCAGGCCUAACACAUGCAAGUCGAGCGGCAGCGCGUCCGACCACCCUCGGGUGGUCGGAUGGCGGCGAGCGGCGGACGGGUGAGGAAUGCAUCGGAAUCUGCCUCGUUGUGGGGGAUAACGUAGGGAAACUUACGCUAAUACCGCAUACGACCUACGGGUGAAAGUGGGGGACCUUCGGGCCUCACGCGAUGAGAUGAGCCGAUGCCGGAUUAGCUAGUUGGCGGGGUAAAGGCCCACCAAGGCGACGAUCCGUAGCUGGUCUGAGAGGAUGAUCAGCCACACUGGAACUGAGACACGGUCCAGACUCCUACGGGAGGCAGCAGUGGGGAAUAUUGGACAAUGGGGGCAACCCUGAUCCAGCCAUGCCGCGUGUGUGAAGAAGGCCUCGGU
This 405-nucleotide ribosomal RNA is filed under the name uncultured bacterium. Its description in RNAcentral is "bacterial SSU rRNA". It matches the Rfam family "Bacterial small subunit ribosomal RNA", at positions 30 to 423 of the family's 1533-position model. The record is from RNAcentral.